UACGGAGGGUCCAAGCGUUAUCCGGAAUCAUUGGGUUUAAAGGGUCCGUAGGCGGUUUUGUAAGUCAGUGGUGAAAGCCCAUCGCUCAACGGUGGAACGGCCAUUGAUACUGCAAGACUUGAAUUAUUGGGAAGCAACUAGAAUAUGUAGUGUAGCGGUGAAAUGCUUAGAGAUUACAUGGAAUACCAAUUGCGAAGGCAGGUUGCUACCAAUACAUUGACGCUGAUGGACGAAAGCGUGGGGAGCAAACAGG
RNAcentral lists this ribosomal RNA (253 nucleotides) under uncultured bacterium. Its description in RNAcentral is "partial 16S ribosomal RNA". It matches the Rfam family "Bacterial small subunit ribosomal RNA", at positions 524 to 776 of the family's 1533-position model. The record is from RNAcentral.